RNAcentral lists this ribosomal RNA (420 nucleotides) under uncultured Coprococcus sp. RNAcentral's name for it is "bacterial SSU rRNA". It matches the Rfam family "Bacterial small subunit ribosomal RNA", at positions 356 to 794 of the family's 1533-position model. The record is from RNAcentral. Lineage: Bacteria; Bacillati; Bacillota; Clostridia; Lachnospirales; Lachnospiraceae.
UGGGGAUAUUGCACAAUGGAGGAAACUCUGAUGCAGCGACGCCGCGUGAGUGAAGAAGUAUUUCGGUAUGUAAAGCUCUAUCAGCGGGGAAGAUAAUGACAGUACCUGACUAAGAAGCCCCGGCUAACUACGUGCCAGCAGCCGCGGUAAUACGUAGGGGCAAGCGUUAUCCGGAUUUACUGGGUGUAAAGGGAGCGUAGGCGGCGGAACAAGUCAGAAGUGAAAGCCCGGGGCUCAACCCCGGGACGGCUUUUGAAACUGCCCUACUUGAUUUCAGGAGAGGUAAGCGGAAUUCCUAGUGUAGCGGUGAAAUGCGUAGAUAUUAGGAGGAACACCAGUGGCGAAGGCGGCUUACUGGACUGACAAUGACGCUGAGGCUCGAAAGCGUGGGGAGCAAACAGGAUUAGAUACCCUGGUAGU